GACGAACGCUGGCGGCGUGCUUAGCACAUGCAAGUCGAACGGAAAGGCCCUGCUUUUGUGGGGUGCUCGAGUGGCGAACGGGUGAGUAACACGUGAGUAACCUGCCCUUGACUUUGGGAUAACUUCAGGAAACUGGGGCUAAUACCGGAUAGGAGCUCCUGCUGCACGGUGGGGGUUGGAAAGUUUCGGCGGUUGGGGAUGGACUCGCGGCUUAUCAGCUUGUUGGUGGGGUAGUGGCUUACCAAGGCUUUGACGGGUAGCCGGCCUGAGAGGGUGACCGGCCACAUUGGGACUGAGAUACGGCCCAGACUCCUACGGGAGGCAGCAGUGGGGAAUAUUGCACAAUGGGCGGAAGCCUGAUGCAGCAACGCCGCGUGCGGGAUGACGGCCUUCGGGUUGUAAACCGCUUUCGCCUGUGACGAAGCGUGAGUGACGGUAAUGGGUAAAGAAGCACCGGCUAACUACGUG
This 468-nucleotide ribosomal RNA is filed under the name uncultured bacterium. Its description in RNAcentral is "partial 16S ribosomal RNA". It matches the Rfam family "Bacterial small subunit ribosomal RNA", at positions 28 to 507 of the family's 1533-position model. The record is from RNAcentral.